GUCAGUUCUACCACAAAGGUUCUACCUAACAUGGAAAGAGCAAGAGAGUUGUGUCAUCAAGAGAAAGUUUUCUUAUCCAAGUCUGCAACAGAUGAGGUGUUAAAUCUGCAGAUGACCCGCAAACACCUCUAAGUCUCGAGCCUUACGGAGACAGACUAAAACUCUUUUGGAGGAUGAAAAUUCACCAUGAGGGAAGAGCCAAAGCCACGGUUUCACUGACGUCGUGAGUGUGAGCCCCACAGUCUUCCACUGCUGACUCUUCAGAGCAAAGGUGAAAACGGUACCUACCUCUCCAAGAGCAUGCAGUUACUUGAGAAGCCUCAUAAUGAUUACCUGGGCUCAUGCAUAUGAAACCUGAACGAAGGAAGAGAAAAGACCCUUCCCACUGUCUGGGCCACGCACUGCAGCAAACCUCCCGAGGGGCCCAGCCGCUAGCUGAGGCAGAUAAGCUCUGACAAGAUGAUAAGAAGAUCAACUGAAUUCCACUUCGAAGAGUGAAACUGGAGUUAGCUCCCCAGGGGGCUGAUCUGCUACUGGCCAUGUUAGGCAGGAUCCCUCCUGUCCUUCCCAGUUUUCUCCUGUGCUUUUCAGAAUGACUGGAAGGGAUGCUGAGGCAUCAUCAUCAUCUCUUCAAAACGAUGAGAACCUUGAUAGCUUAGCUGACGUUCUAUCACCCUUAGUAAAUUGUUCAAAACUGCUACAGACUGAACGUUGUGUCCCCCCCAAAUUCAGUUGUUGAAACCUAAUCCCCAGUGUGACACUAUUAGGAGGUGAGGCCUUUGGAAGGUGGCUAGGUGAUGAGGGCGGAGCCUCAUGAAUGGGGUUAAUGCCCUCAUGAAAGAGGCCCGGAGAUUUUCCUUGCCCUUCGGCCAUGACAGGACACAGCGAUAAGCCAUCUGUGAACCAGAAAUCCCUCACCAGAAUCUCCUGGCACCUUGAUCUGGGACUUCCCAGCCUCCAGAACUGUGAGAGAUGUUUCUGUUGUUUAUAAGCACCCAGCCUACAGUAUUCUGUUACAGGGCCUGAACGGACUAAGACAAUAACUAAAUCUCUCCUUCAACACUUUCAAGCCUCAUCCUAAUCUAAGAAAUCUUAUCCCCAUAGACAAUUACUCUCGAGUAUCUUACUCUCUUCUGCAUUUUCUGUUUCAGCUUUAAAUACGUGUAUGUCUUCCCUGAUCUUAAACCACAUCCCCCUAUCUGACACCCUAUUUUUCUCCUUGUAUCAUUUAUACAGAUAGAAUUGGCUCUUUUUAAGUGUCGUUCAUCUCUCCCCCUUGAAUAUAACAAACGUUGAAUUUGCUGCUUUGUCAAAUAAGACUAACACAUCAGCUGGAUUUUUAAAAAAAUUUAUGGAAAUUAAGAAAGUUCAAAUCUAGUAUUCUUCUUGUCUAUGUACCUAUAUGAAUUUGAAAAUACUGGCUAAGUUGAAACUGUUGAAUUAUCUCCAGAUUUCAAUUAAGUCUUGCCCUGGGUGCUAAUACAUUAUAUUGCUUCAGUUUUCUUUAAAAUGAACCGCUUCUCCCCAAAGACCACCUUCCCAAUGGUUAACA
This is a long non-coding RNA of Equus quagga, 1552 nucleotides long. RefSeq lists it as uncharacterized. The transcript is spliced from 3 exons. Lineage: Eukaryota; Metazoa; Chordata; Mammalia; Perissodactyla; Equidae. The record is from RefSeq and is a predicted model, not a curated record.